UAAGAUUAGACCUCAGAUCCAGGCAGAUUACCCGCUGAACUUAA
Molecule: ribosomal RNA, 44 nt
Filed under: Microbotryum cordae
Lineage: Eukaryota; Fungi; Basidiomycota; Microbotryomycetes; Microbotryales; Microbotryaceae
Description: partial 28S ribosomal RNA
Source: RNAcentral